GACGAACGCUGGCGGCGUGCUUAACACAUGCAAGUCGAGCGGUAAGGCCCUUUCGGGGGUACACGAGCGGCGAACGGGUGAGUAGCACGUGGGUGACCUGCCCUCAGCUCUGGGAUAAGCCUGGGAAACCGGGUCUAAUACCGGAUAUGACUCCAUGACGCAUGUUGUGGGGUGGAAAGCCUUGUGCGGCUGAGGAUGGGCCCGCGGCCUAUCAGCUUGUUGGUGGGGUGANGGCCUACCAAGGCGACGACGGGUAGCCGGCCUGAGAGGGCGACCGGCCACACUGGGACUGAGACACGGCCCAGACUCCUACGGGAGGCAGCAGUGGGGAAUCUUGCGCAAUGGGCGAAAGCCUGACGCAGCGACGCCGCGUGAGGGAUGACGGCCUGGU
Molecule: ribosomal RNA, 391 nt
Filed under: uncultured bacterium
Lineage: Bacteria
Description: bacterial SSU rRNA
Rfam family: Bacterial small subunit ribosomal RNA
Source: RNAcentral